RNAcentral lists this ribosomal RNA (573 nucleotides) under Triticum aestivum (bread wheat). Its description in RNAcentral is "partial small subunit ribosomal RNA". The record is from RNAcentral. Lineage: Eukaryota; Viridiplantae; Streptophyta; Magnoliopsida; Poales; Poaceae.
AUGUCGACGCGCCACCGCCCCCACCCCACUCCCUCCCACGCUGUCCACCGGCGUUCCCCUCACACUCUCACCGCUCGGCCCUCUCAUCCGCCUCCCGUCCCCUCGGCGGCGGAGCCCUCCCCAUCGCUAUCCCCCAACCCCGGCAGCGACCUCAACAGCCAGAUACCGCUCACGCUCCUCAUCGUCCUCCUCGACCUGCUCCUCUCGCCCGCGAUCCUCUCCAAAUUCCUCCGCACUGGCGUCCACCAAACCUCCGCACAUAGCAUCCUCGGCCAGGCCAGGGGCUUCCACUUCCAUUCCUCCCUCGUCGACCUCCCCGCCGUGUCCGCCGCCCGCUCCCUCCUCAUUGUCUGUGCGUACACGGCGUGCGGGGGCGGCGCGGCCUACCUGUGGGUGGCGGCGGCCUGCAUCCUCGGCUCCCUCUUAUACGUCCUCGCCAAGGCCGUCGGCAGUUCGGUCGUGCGUAUGAAUCCGUCAAGGUAUGAAUCCAACCCCUCCCCUCCCCUCCGCCCGCCUCAGCUCCUCCCUCGGGUGCUACGAAUCUCGACCCAAUCUUGGCUAGCAGCAGAUUGA